UGGCCGCGGGAUUGAUUAACCCAUGCAAUUCUAACGAGCACCUCCGUGCUCCUGGCGAACGGCUCAGUAACCCUUGGAUAACCCGCCCCUGGGACCGGGAUAACCCCGGGAAACUGGGGAUAAACCCGGAUAGGUGAAGAUGCCUGGAAUGGUGCUUCACCCAAACACCUCCGGGUGCCCAAGGAUGGGUCUGCGGCCGAUUAAGUAGUUGGUAGGGUAACGGCCUACCAAGCCCAUCAUCGGUACGGGUUGUGAGAGCAAGAGCCCGGAAAUGGAACCUGAAACAAGGUUCCAGGCCCUACGGGGCGCAACAGGCGCGAAACCUCCGCAAUGCACGCAAGUGCGACGGGGGAACCCCAAGUGCCACUCUUAACGGGGUGGCUUUUCAAAAAUGUAAAAAGCUUCUGGAAUAAGGGCUGGGCAAGACCGGUGCCAGCCGCCGCGGUAACACCGGCAGCUCAAGUGGUAGCCGCUUUUAUUGGGCCUAAAGCGUCCGUAGCCGGUCUGAUAAGUCUCUGGUGAAAUCCCACAGCUUAACUGUGGGAAUUGCUGGAGAUACUAUCAUGACUCGAGGUCGGGAGAGGCUGGAGGUACUCCCAGGGUAGGGGUGAAAUCCUGUAAUCCUGGGAGGACCACCUGUGGCGAAAGCGUCCUACUGGAAACAAACUGACCGUGAGGGACGAAAGCCAGGGGCGCGAACCGGAUUAGAUGACCCAGGUAGUCCUGGNUCUUCACCAAGUGGACUUGGUGUUGGGAUGGCUUCGAGCUGCCCCAGUGCCNAAGGGAAGCUGUUAAGUCCAACUGCUGGGAAGUACGGCGCAAGGCUGAAACUUAAAGGAAUUGGCGGGGGGAGCA
This 855-nucleotide ribosomal RNA is filed under the name uncultured archaeon. RNAcentral's name for it is "bacterial SSU rRNA". It matches the Rfam family "Archaeal small subunit ribosomal RNA", at positions 27 to 878 of the family's 1478-position model. The record is from RNAcentral.